AUGCCUUUCCCUGCUCCUUUUCCCACCUUUUCCUGCUCCUUUUCCCGCCUUUUCCCGCCUUUUCCUGCCUUUUCUGGCCUUUUCCUGCUCCUUUUCCUGCAUUUUCCUGCCUUUUCCUGCUCCUUUUCCCGCCUUUUCCUGCUCCUUUUCCCGCCUUUUCCUGCUCCUUUCCCCGCCUUUUCCUGCCUUUUCCUGCUCCUUUUCCCGCCUUUUCCUGCUCCUUUUCCCGCCUUUUCCUUCCUGCUCCUUUUCCCGCCUUUUCCUGCCUUUUCCUGCUCCUUUUCCUGCCUUUUCCUGCCUUUUCCUGCUCCUUUUCCUGCCUUUUCCUGCUCCUUUUCCUGCCUUUUCCUGCCUUUUCCUGCUCCUUUUCCCGCCUCUUCCCACCUUUUCCUUCCUGCUCCUUUUCCUGCCUUUUCCCACCUUUUCCUGCUCCUUUUCCUAAUCCUUUUCCUGCCUUUUCCCACCUUUUCCCGCCUUUUCCUUCCUGCUCCUUUUCCCACCUCUUCCUGCCUUUUCCUGCUCCUUUUCCCGCCUUUUCCCUCCUUUUCCCGCUCCUUUUCCCUCCUUUUCCUGCCUUUUCCUGCUUUUUCCUGCUCCUUUUCCUGCCUUUUCCUGCUCCUUUUCCCGCCUUUUCCCUCCUUUUCCUGCUCCUUUUCCCGUCUCUUCCUGCCUUUUCCUUCCUGCUCCUUUUCCUGCUCCUUUUCCUGCUCCUUUUCCGGCCUUUUCCUGCCUUUUCCUGCCUUUUCCUGCUCCUUUUCCCGCCUUUUCCUGCCUUUUCCUGCCUUUUCCCACCUUUUCCCACCUUUUCCCACCUCUUCCCGCCUUUUCCUGCUCCUCUUCCUGCCUUUUCCCACCUUUUCCUGCUCCUUUUCCUGCUCCUUUUCCCGCCUUUUCCUGCCUUUUCCUGAUCCUUUUCCUGCUCCUUUUCCUGCUCCUUUUCCCACCUUUUCCUGCCUUUUCCUGCUCCUUUUCGUGCUCCUCUUCCCGCCUUUUCCCACCUUUUCCUGCCUUUUCCUGCUCCUUUUCCCACCUCUUCCCGCCUUUUCCUUCCUGCUCCUUUUCCCGCCUUUUCCGGCCAUUUCCUGCUCCUUUUCCCGCCUUUUCCUGCUGCUUUUCCCGCCUUUUCCUGCUCCUUUUCCUGCUCCUUUUCCUGCUCCUUUUCCCGCCUUUUCCCAACUUUUCCCGCCUUUUCCUGCUCCUUUUCCCGCCUUUUCCUGCUCCUUUUCCUGCUCCUUUUCCUGCUCCUUUUCCCGCCUUUUCCCAACUUUUCCCGCCUUUUCCUGCUCCUUUUCCUGCCUUUUCCUGCUCCUUUUCCUGCCUUUCCCUGCUCCUUUUCCCGCCUUUCCCUGCUCCUUUUCCCGCCUUUUCCUGCUCCUUUUCCCGCCUUUUCCUGCUCCUUAUCCCGCUUUUCCCGGCUCCUUUUCCCGCUUUCCCGGCUCCUUUUCCCGCCUUUUCCUGCUCCUUUUCCCGCUUUUCCCGGGCCCUCAUCCCGCCUUUCCCUGCUCCUUUUCCCGCCUUUUCCUGCUCCUUUUCCCGCCUUUUCCUGCUCCUUUUCCCGCCUUUUCCUGCUCCUUAUUCCACCUUUUCCUGCUCCUUAUCCCACCUUUUCCUGCCUUUUCCCUCCUUUUCCUGCUCCUUUUCCCGCCUUUUCCUGCUCCUUAUCCCACCUUUCCCUGGUCAUUUUCCCACCUUUUCCUGCUCCUUUCCCUGGUCCUUAUCCCACCUUUUCUCAUCCUUAUCCCACCUUUUCCUCAUCAUUUUCCCACCUUUCCCUGGUCAUUUUCCCACCUUUCCCUCCUCCUUAUCCCACCUUUUCCUGCUCCUUUUCCUCAUCAUUUUCCCGCCUUUUCCUGCUCCUUCUCCCGCCUUUUCCUCUUUUCCCGCCUCUUCCCGCCUUUUCCUUCCUGCUCCUUUUCCCACCUUUUCCUGCUCCUUUUCCCACCUUUUCCUGCUCCUUUUCCCACCUUUCCCGGCUCCUUUUCCCGCUUUUCCGGAGCCCUGAUCCCGCUUUUCCGGCCCCUCAUCCCGCUUUUCCCGCAGCCGAGCCGCGGCUGGACGCCGGCAGCUGCCCCCCGCAGCAGAACUGGACGGAGGGGCAGGAGGGGAUCCUGCGCUGCCGGGCCCGGGGCGCACCUGAGCCGCAGGUGA
Long non-coding RNA from Taeniopygia guttata (zebra finch), 2148 nucleotides. Lineage: Eukaryota; Metazoa; Chordata; Aves; Passeriformes; Estrildidae. The record is from Ensembl.